RNAcentral lists this ribosomal RNA (425 nucleotides) under uncultured bacterium. Its description in RNAcentral is "partial 16S ribosomal RNA". It matches the Rfam family "Bacterial small subunit ribosomal RNA", at positions 354 to 796 of the family's 1533-position model. The record is from RNAcentral.
GUGGGGAAUAUUGGGCAAUGGGCGAAAGCCUGACCCAGCAACGCCGCGUGAAGGAAGAAGGUCUUCGGAUCGUAAACUUCUAUCCUUGGUGAAGAUAAUGACGGUAGCCGAGAAGGAAGCCCCGGCUAACUACGUGCCAGCAGCCGCGGUAAUACGUAGGGGGCAAGCGUUGUCCGGAAUGAUUGGGCGUAAAGGGCGCGUAGGCGGCCUGGUAAGUCUGGAGUGAAAGUCCUGCUUUUAAGGUGGGAAUUGCUUUGGAUACUGUCGGGCUUGAGUGCAGGAGAGGUAAGUGGAAUUCCCGGUGUAGCGGUGAAAUGCGUAGAGAUCGGGAGGAACACCAGUGGCGAAGGCGACUUACUGGACUGUAACUGACGCUGAGGCUCGAAAGCCAGGGGAGCGAACGGGAUUAGAAACCCCGGUAGUCC